GAUGAAGAACGCAGUGAAAUGCGAUAAUUAAUGUGAAUUGCAGAAUUCAGUGAAUCAUCGAGUCUUUGAACGCACAUUGCGCCCCCUGGUAUUCCGGGGGGCAUGCCUGUCCGAGCGUCAUUGCUGCCCUCAAGCACGGCUUGUGUGUUGGGCUUCCGUCCCUGGCAACGGGGACGGGCCCAAAAGGCAGUGGCGGCACCAUGUCUGGUCCUCGAGCGUAUGGGGCUUUGUCACCCGCUCCCGUAGGUCCAGCUGGCAGCUGGCCUCGCAACCAAUCUUUUUAACCAGGUUGACCUCGGAUCAGGUAGGGAUACCCGCUGAACUUAAGCAUAUCAAUAAGCGGAGGA
Molecule: unclassified non-coding RNA, 347 nt
Filed under: soil metagenome
Description: partial contains 5.8S ribosomal RNA, internal transcribed spacer 2, and large subunit ribosomal RNA
Rfam family: 5.8S ribosomal RNA (bases 1-120)
Source: RNAcentral